CAAAGGGAACUAAAAUUCAACGUAUGGAGAAUAUCGUUACAAUAUUUUUCUACAUCUCUCUCAACAAUGGUAGACAAAGGACUAACAUGUCUAGUGAUGUAACUAUCUAUAGUGCAACUCUAACUUCCAUCGGAUGACAGUUCGUGCAGCCAGUGAUCCAUGGUACUACAGCAUUAUACCAAAAUUAGAUGAUUUCACGAGAAGAGCAGAGUAACCUUUGUUUUACAUGACUAUAUUAUGCACACACGACAACAUAUGUCAUUGUAUACAUGAUAAGUAAGACAUUGUCUUUGCUUUCUUGUUCUUGG
Molecule: long non-coding RNA, 308 nt
Filed under: Oryza brachyantha (malo sina)
Lineage: Eukaryota; Viridiplantae; Streptophyta; Magnoliopsida; Poales; Poaceae
Description: long non-coding RNA (OBRA_LNC001841)
Source: RNAcentral